CCUACGGGUGGCAGCAGUAGGGAAUAUUGCUCAAUGGGGGAAACCCUGAAGCAGCAACGCCGCGUGGGGGAUGAAGGUUUUCGGAUUGUAAACCCCUUUUGUUAGAGAAGAAAAUGACGGUAUCUAACGAAUAAGCACCGGCCAACUACGUGCCAGCAGCCGCGGUAAUACGGAGGGUGCAAGCGUUACUCGGAAUCACUGGGCGUAAAGAGCGCGUAGGCGGGUUAGCGAGUCAGAUGUGAAAGCCUAUGGCUUAACCGUAGAACUGCAUUUGAAACUGGUGUUCUUGAGUGUGGGAGAGGUAGGUGGAAUUCUUGGUGUAGCGGUAAAAUCCGUAGAGAUCAAGAGGAAUACUCGUGGCGAAGGCGACCUACUGGAACAUAACUGACGCUGAGGCGCGAAAGCGUGGGGAGCAAACAGGAUUAGAUACCCGAGUAGUC
Molecule: ribosomal RNA, 440 nt
Filed under: uncultured bacterium
Lineage: Bacteria
Description: partial 16S ribosomal RNA
Rfam family: Bacterial small subunit ribosomal RNA
Source: RNAcentral